RNA transcript from Wyeomyia smithii (pitcher-plant mosquito), 1563 nucleotides. RefSeq lists it as uncharacterized. The transcript is spliced from 3 exons. The record is from RefSeq and is a predicted model, not a curated record. Lineage: Eukaryota; Metazoa; Arthropoda; Insecta; Diptera; Culicidae.
UUGUAAUCGGCAAAAGGUAACUAGCGUCAACAUGGAUUUCGAAGCUAACGCUAAACUUGGUGUAACUGAAAAUUCGGUGUGGUUUUAUUACUUACGCGGAAAACAAAAUCGCGAAAUAGCCAAAUGUAUACGGUGUUCAAAAGUGAUUAAAUGUGAAGGUUCGAGCACGAGCGGUUUAAAGACUCAUCUCAAGGGACAGCAUAAUAUUGACCUAACCUUGAAAAAACAUGCAGCUUCUUGCGAUAUCCGGCCUUCAAAAUCAGCUACAAGUUCAAAAAAUUCAAACAUUAUGCAGUAUUUUUCCAAUGUAUCUCAGCUAGAAAUAGUUUUGGCUCGAAUGGCUGCCAAGGACUGCAUUUCAUUCAGAACUAUUGCCAGGUCCGAAGAUAUACGUCAGGGCCUGCUCGCUCGAGGCUUCACCGGAAUCCCGAAAACUCAUGACGGUGUAAGACAAAAGGUAAAGUCUUAUCAUGAGUUUGUGAUUCAAGAAUACCGUAAGCAGUUCGAUGAAAUAAAAAAGGAGCACCGCAAAAUCAGUUUGACUUUUGAUGAAUGGACAUCAAAUAGAAAUCGUAGGUACAUGAACAUAAAUGUCCAUGCCUCCAAACAAACCUGGAAUCUCGAACUACGGCGAAUUUUCGGAUCGAUGACAGCAGAUAAUUGUUUGUCUCUACCUAAUCAACAUCUUAACGAGUUAAAUUUGUCACUUUCGGAUGACGUUAUGGCAGUGACAACAGAUGGACCACAUAUAAUGCUGAAAGUGGGAAUAUUAUUGAAUGCCACUCAUCAAGUUUGCUUGGCACACGGUAUCCAUUUGGCGGUUAUUGGCGUUCUGUAUAGGAAGAAGUCCGAAGAUGCCGAGUUUUUCUUGAAGAGUGAUGGCUCAGAUGACGACCACGACUCAGAUGCUGUCGAAUCGCAAUUUUUUGCAACCGAAACUGACGGAGGAGCAUCACCUAUACUAAAACCCCAAAUAUCGGAAAUUGUCAAGAAAGUUCGCACCGUAAUAAGUUUUUCGACAGUCACCAGUAAAAAACGACAUUCUCCAAAACUAUGUCCGCUCUGAAGUUGGAACAGAGCUUACUUUGUUAUCGGAUUGUAAAACACGCUGGAAUAGUCUUCUUCCAAUGCUCAAGCGAUUUUAUAAUUUGAAGGGCCCGAUUCGAUGCACUUAAGGAAAAAAUCAAGGAAAGACGAUCGGAAUAUUCAGACCUUUUCGCAACUCUAUGCAAUAGCAACGUGAAAGGAUCCUUGAAAUAUGAUUUUGGAAUUUUCUUUAGGACAUCACGGACGACUUUAGUAAAGCAAGCUGAAGAAAUUAUAAAGAGAAUCACAACUACUAAUGGAUUGGACAACGAGGGGGAAAAGAUGGCUACGAGUGAUCAUGAGCACGACGACGUUAUGGUUGAUGAUGGGUUGUCGCUCAAUGAAGACGCUCAGAAAUGAAUUUGCAUUUUACGAAUCCGAAGGAAUCGAAGGUAAAUACCUCUCUAUUCUUCACGAUGCUCUUGAAACAGUUCGUCCAACUUCGGUUGAACCUGAGAGAGCAUUGGCCUCAGCUGG